GGGUUCGAUUCCGGAGAGGGAGCCUGAGAGAUGGCUACCACUUCUAAGGAAGGCAGCAGGCGCGCAAAUUACCCUAAUCUCGAUUCGAGGAGGUAGUGACAAGAAAUACCGAUGCGGGACCCUACGGGUGCCGCGUUCGGAAUGAGUACGAUUCGAACCACCUAACGAGGAACGAUCGGAGGGCAAGUCUGGUGCCAGCAGCA
This 203-nucleotide ribosomal RNA is filed under the name uncultured eukaryote. RNAcentral describes it as "partial 18S ribosomal RNA". It matches the Rfam family "Eukaryotic small subunit ribosomal RNA", at positions 373 to 575 of the family's 1831-position model. The record is from RNAcentral.